GGGCUCGCAGGCGGUUUCUUAAGUCUGAUGUGAAAGCCCCCGGCUCAACCGGGGAGGGUCAUUGGAAACUGGGAAACUUGAGUGCAGAAGAGGAGAGUGGAAUUCCACGUGUAGCGGUGAAAUGCGUAGAGAUGUGGAGGAACACCAGUGGCGAAGGCGACUCUCUGGUCUGUAACUGACGCUGAGGAGCGAAAGCGUGGGGAGCGAACAGGAUUAGAUACCCUGGUAGUCCACGCCGUAAACGAUGAGUGCUAAGUGUUAGGGGGUUUCCGCCCCUUAGUGCUGCAGCUAACGCAUUAAGCACUCCGCCUGGGGAGUACGGUCGCAAGACUGAAACUCAAAGGAAUUGACGGGGGCCCGCACAAGCGGUGGAGCAUGUGGUUUAAUUCGAAGCAACGCGAAGAACCUUACCAGGUCUUGACAUCCUCUGACAACCCUAGAGAUAGGGCUUUCCCUUCGGGGACAGAGUGACAGGUGGUGCAUGGUUGUCGUCAGCUCGUGUCGUGAGAUGUUGGGUUAAGUCCCGCAACGAGCGCAACCCUUGAUCUUAGUUGCC
RNAcentral lists this ribosomal RNA (556 nucleotides) under Bacillus pumilus. Its description in RNAcentral is "bacterial SSU rRNA". It matches the Rfam family "Bacterial small subunit ribosomal RNA", at positions 565 to 1119 of the family's 1533-position model. Lineage: Bacteria; Bacillati; Bacillota; Bacilli; Caryophanales; Bacillaceae. The record is from RNAcentral.